GAUGAACGCUGGCGGCGUGCUUAACACAUGCAAGUCGAACGGAAAGGCUCCUGCUUGCAGGGGUACUCGAGUGGCGAACGGGUGAGUAACACGUGGGUGAUCUGCCCUGCACUUCGGGAUAAGCCUGGGAAACUGGGUCUAAUACCGGAUAGGACCACAUUUUGGAUGGUGUGGUGGAAAGUUUUUCGGUGUGGGAUGAGCUCGCGGCCUAUCAGCUUGUUGGUGGGGUAAUGGCCUACCAAGGCGUCGACGGGUAGCCGGCCUGAGAGGGUGUACGGCCAGAUUGGGACUGAGAUGCGGCCCAGACUCCUACGGGAGGCAGCAGGGGGGAAUAUUGCACAAUGGGCGCAAGCCUGAUGCAGCGACGCCGCGGGGGGGAUGACGGCCUUCGGGUUGUAAACUCCUUUCGCUAGGGACGAAGCGUUUUUGUGACGGUACCUGGAGAAGAAGCACCGGCUAACUACGUG
RNAcentral lists this ribosomal RNA (467 nucleotides) under uncultured bacterium. Its description in RNAcentral is "partial 16S ribosomal RNA". It matches the Rfam family "Bacterial small subunit ribosomal RNA", at positions 28 to 507 of the family's 1533-position model. The record is from RNAcentral.